CAACUCCCAAACCCCUGUGAACAUACCUUUAACGUUGCCUCGGCGGGACCGCCCCGGCGCCCACUCGCGGCCCGGACCCAGGCGCCCGCCGGAGGACCCAAACUCUUGCUUUGAACAGUGGCAUACUCUCUGAGUCUCACAAACAAAAAUGAAUCAAAACUUUCAACAACGGAUCUCUUGGCUCUGGCAUCGAUGAAGAACGCAGCGAAAUGCGAUAAGUAAUGUGAAUUGCAGAAUUCAGUGAAUCAUCGAAUCUUUGAACGCACAUUGCGCCCGCCAGCAUUCUGGCGGGCAUGCCUGUCCGAGCGUCAUUUCAACCCUCAGGACCCCUUCGGGGGACCUGGUGUUGGGGGCCGGCCGCCUCGCGCGCCGCCCCCGAAAUGCAGUGGCGACCUCGCCGCAGCCUCCCCUGCGUAGUAGCACAACCUCGCACCGGAGCGCGGAGACGGUCACGCCGUAAAACGCCCAACUUUCACGAGUUGACCUCGGAUCAGGUAGGAAUACCCGC
Molecule: ribosomal RNA, 508 nt
Filed under: Hypocreales sp. MS271
Lineage: Eukaryota; Fungi; Ascomycota; Sordariomycetes; Hypocreales
Description: eukaryotic LSU rRNA
Rfam family: 5.8S ribosomal RNA (bases 158-311)
Source: RNAcentral